GCGAUGGUGCGCCUCUCCUCGUUCCGUUUUCGAAUAUCGUACCGCGCGCUGCGGUACCGGUAACGAGAUCCGGGGUGGUCCGAUCUUCAGCUGUCUUCGGAACGGGCCGCCGCCACCGCCGCCGCCGCCUCGAUACCGCGAUAGACGAUCCGUUUUACAGGCUAUGUAAUAUUAAAGAAAACCAAUGAAUUUUAAAAUUCAUGUUUUUCUCUAUGAAUAUUCCAAGAAACAUCAUGUACCGAUCGCAAAUCUUUAAUAUUUAUGUGAAGGGAAAGGUUCUUGACUAUGAUGAAUAAAGGCAUAAAUGACUCGUCAUAGAUAUCGUAAAGUCAUCAGCAAACUUUUUAAACUCUCUAAAGCUACAAGAGGAGGAAGAAGAAGAAACAAAGCAAAUUUCAAUGGAGGACCGCUUAUACACAGGUCACAGAAUAACCCAACAGAACUGCUUGUAUGGAGGAUCUCCCACUUCCAAAACCGAACUGGUGAUCGGAUAGUAGUUUUCAAGACAUAAUAAACGUCGUUGCAAAUAUACAUACGCAAAGAACUUCGAGAAAACCAUGGUGACUGUAUUAUUAAUGUUUGUUUUACUACCUUUUUUAUGUAACGGAAUAAUCUUUGCAAAAGGAUAAAUGUGUUAUAUGGGUAAAUGGGUAAAUAAUGAACAUUGAGACGCGCUUGAAAAAAAAAUUGGAAUAUCAUCACAUCCAGCAGACCGUUUAUUUUGAAGCUUUUUAAUAAGUAAACGGCC
This is a long non-coding RNA of Cylas formicarius (sweet potato weevil), 748 nucleotides long. RefSeq lists it as uncharacterized. Lineage: Eukaryota; Metazoa; Arthropoda; Insecta; Coleoptera; Brentidae. The transcript is spliced from 3 exons. The record is from RefSeq and is a predicted model, not a curated record.